Molecule: long non-coding RNA, 4188 nt
Filed under: Salmo salar (Atlantic salmon)
Lineage: Eukaryota; Metazoa; Chordata; Actinopteri; Salmoniformes; Salmonidae
Description: lncRNA (ENSSSAG00000107997.1)
Source: RNAcentral
AGUAUCAAGAAUAUGCAUAUCCUUGCUUCAGGUCCUUAGCUAUGUCAUUUUAGGCGGAAUUUGAAAAAAAGGCACCGAUCCUUAAGAGGUUUUUAAUGUAAUCUCAACUGCAAUCCAGGUAAUUUGGUUCUGCAAUAACAAUGUUUCCCGACUCUGGUCCUCAAGUACCCCCAAUGCCUGAUUCAGCUUGUCAAAGGCUUGAUGAUUAGUUGGCAAGUUGAAUCAGGUGUGCUUGUCAGGGGCCCCAACAACAAUAUGUACUGUUGGGGGUACUCAAGGACCGGAGCUGGGAAACACUGUGCUAUAAAAUGAAGCACAGUGAUAACACAUUCAUCUGUAUAAAUAAACAAAAUAUCUGAAGUGAUAUUCCCAUUAGAAUUUUGCUGUGCUUUUAAAUGGUUGAAAGUGUAGUAAGACAUUUGGGUGACAACUAAACCAAAUAUUUGACAUUGUUUUUCCAUUGGAAUUUGGUUUAGAUGGUUAAAAGAAUAGUGAUACCACAUCAGAAAUUCUACUGACUUUUGGCUGUCUUUUAGAGUGGGUGAAUAUAGGUUAUAAUCUCAAUGAUCAACUUCUCAACCAAAUAUUACCAAAUUAUCCACGUUGAAAUGACGUGGUGUGCCCAGUGGGAUUGUUGUGCAAGAACAACAGUAGUUGGUCCCGUUUUUGAAAAUGAAUCUUUGUGGAAGGAUUAUUCAAAUCCUCUCUGCCCCUGCUCCCUCAUACACAUACAGCAUAUAAUCAUGUGGAUAAGAGAUUCAGUGAAACCAGGACAAUAUCAAAUUCCCCAAAAGCUCUAAGCUUGUAGACAUAACCUUUAUAACAAAGAGACUUAGAAUUACAAGAUGGCCGUCUUAAAAUGCUUUGGAAUAAUGCAAAAAAUCUCUCUUUUAUGCAAUGUGUUGUGUAACGCAAUAGUCAAGGGGUACUGUGAGAGACAAAGAGCAAAGUACUGUAUGUAUCACAAAACAUCCCUUGCACCUUAUGGGAACAUAGGCCUUUGCACUUUGGCGCCAUGUUUGUACAAGGAAAUUGGUUUGAAUGUAAACAAGAGUCUAUGCAAAGAGAUCUAGUCAUUGAUAGCCCUAUACACAAGCCAAACAGUUUUUUGAGGUGUGCAAGGGACUAUGGGGUCAUUCAUCAGAGACACUAGUGUAUGACAGCCCUCAUACUCAUAAUCAUUUUUACAGAUUGGAGAUUGGAACGUCUCUCUAUAGUGCCUGGAUGCAGGUUGGGGCGUGAGAUAUGAGAAUACCAGGUGAGGUGCAUAGCUCAUGUGCAGCUGCGCAAUGUGUGUGGCGCCACCAAAGGACUAGGAUCGUGGGAUCGUGGCAUAUCUCAAGUCAUAAUUCAACUUCGGAUGAUAUGGCUUGUAUAACAUUUGACAAUGACGUAUUAAUAGAAGAUUUUAUUUGUGAGAAGCAAAUGACAUUGCUCUCUCACUCUAUCUCUCUCUCUCUCUAUAUAUAUAUAUAUCUCUAUCUCACACGCACAUGUAGAUGCAGUCUCUUACACUCUUUUGUGGUUUGGCUGUCUGUCUGCUUAUGGAGACUUUUGGGGAAGUAGGUUUAUAUUUUUCACAGGAACAUAAGCAUGUGAUUAAAUAAAGCAUCUGACAGAUAGGACCUUUACUUUCUCAUAAAGUGAAAAGUUCAGAAGGUGAAAAGGUCAGGCAACCAUGACUUCAGCAGCCCUGCAUUAUACAUAGAUCUAUGAGGAACAAGGAAGGCUACCCUUGAGUGAAACUGAAAAUGUUUCAUGUGGGAGCUUAUUGUACUAUUAAGUAUUCCAAAUACAUAAUAAUAACAAACAAAAAAUUACAAAUAAUUUCAUCCAACUGAUGUACAAAAUAUUGGAACAUACGAUACAUUCACGUGACAAAUUCUGCAUAAAGUGAUAGAUGAUAACAUCAUUCCUUUGAGACAGCCUGCACAUCUGGACAAUGCCUUGACCUGCUGUACAAGUUCAAAUUGUACUCAGUUACUAUAAACAGGAAAAAGAGUGCAGACAAUAUUGAACUGUUCAUUGAAUUCACUCAGAGCUCACGGUCACCGGUCAUGUGUAAUGGGUAUAGGGCCCUGAGCUGUUCCAGAUCACAUAGUCAGGGAAAACUCAGGGCCUCGUGGGAAGAAGAAGGAAGAGGGAGAGUUUCAAGGAAGAAAAUGCGUUACUGCAUUUAUUGGUUGAGUUUUGAUUGCAAUUCAACUUUAUUGAGUUAGAAAUGCACCUGAGGCUCGAACAAUGGUUGCAUCAUCCAAAAUGUUGUCAAACUUUAGCUUUGGCAGCAAACAUGGUAAGGGUUGACUUCCUAUUUGACAGCCAAUAAAUAGACGCAAUUGAUGUCUAUAACAUGGUAAUAUACAUGUAUUUAGUUUUAUGACGCAUAGAGACAGUUUACUUUUAUAUUUGUGUAACCAGUGUCUGCCGCUAAGUGUAUGGCCACUCAUCACAUGAUCUGCAAAAUGUCCCUCUGUACAUUGUAUCACAGUGUUAAGAUUCCACUCUGUAAACAAUUCACAGACAUGUUCUUAUGUAAUCGUUUACAUGUACUAUACCUUCCACCCACAGACCUAACUUUUUCUAGUGACCGUAUAUAUAACACUAACUGCACACACCAGCCGGUUGCUUACUGUGUGAUGUGUAUACAUUAAAAGGAGAAAUUCCACCGGAGGGUAAAUGUGUAAAAAAUAAUAAAAAUUCAAAAAAAGAGGCGCAUGCUAUGGUCACUUUGAGGUCAUUCUGUUUCAGAAAUUACCACGGUUAUGUGAGCUAUAUGGAUCACUCCAAUAUAUUGAUAUCACUCCGCGGCGGAGGGAUACAUCCGAGGUGAGGAUUUACAGGUUUUCUCCUGGGUACACCUGUGGUCCACCCCUAUAUAUAGACCCCAUGGCGCCUCUAGCACCAUAGAGGAUUGGAGUGAUCCAUAUAGCUCACAUAACCGUGGUUACAUACGUAACCUUCGUUAUGUUUCUCUAUAUUGGAUCACUUCAAUAUAUUGGUAUACCCGUACCAGAUUUAGUCGGUGCUAGAGGGACCUGGCCAGCCAGUGGCGAAGUCCCAACGCGGGACCGAGACGCAGGGGCCGUCAAUGUGGAAGGGGGGUCCUGGCACAGUCCCCGGAAGGGGAGACGAUGCCCAGGACCGCUGAACCAACCACAGAGGGAGGUGCCACAUUUACCCGAUAGUACCUAGCAAAGGAGCAAGAGGAAGCCCAGCUGGCCCCAGUACAAAUAUCAGAGAGGGGCACUCCUCUCAGUAGAGCCCAGGAUGCAGCCACACCUCAUGUUGAAUGUGCCACCACAAAUCCCAGCACUGGCCUGCCAGCCAGGCGGUAUGGUGUCGUAAUUGUGUCCACAAUCCAGUGAGAGAGCCUCUGCAUUGAUAGCCCAGCCCACAGGACACACCAUAGCAGACAAAGAGCUGUUCUGUUGUUCUCACUGACCGUGUCCGCUCCACAUAGGCAGCCAGUGCACGCACAUGGCAUAGCAUGCCGGAGGGAGGCAUAGACUCCCCGCCACUUCCCGGGGGGUCAUAAGCAGACAGGAUAAAAGGGAUGUUCACAUGCCUGUCUGACAGAACCUUUGGGGGGAAUGAAGGUUUGGGGCGGAGAGAUAUACUCCUCCCACCAGGGUCCAUCCGGUAGCACUCAGAACUUACCGAAAGAGCAUGGAGCUCACCGACCCUCUUCUUGGAAGUAAUCGCUACCAAGAAAGCCACAGAGGUCCUGGUGGCUAUGACAUGGAGUACCACAGGGGGCAGUGUGCAUCGUACAGGGAGGCAAACAGGUCCACCUGCGCCCUCCCGAACAUGUCCCACAGGUGUUGCACCACCUGGGGAUGUAGGCUCCAGUCCCAAGGUGGCGGGCCCUCCCUCAAGAGCGUAUCCACUGCCACAUUCAGGAUGCCAGGUAUGUGCGCUGCGUGUCGAGACGCUAGAGGUCCCUGAGCCCAGACAAGGAGCUCCCAUACCAUAAGAUGGAGACAGUAGGACCUCAGUCCACCCUGAUGGUUGAUGUAAGCCACCACUGUGGUGUUUUCCAUUGUCACCAGGACUUCAGAUGUGGAAUGAAAGACCGCAGGGCCAGCAGUACAGCUCAGAGCUCUAGUGUAUUGAUGUGCCUGCCACUCCAAGGAGGUAGCCAACAGCCGCUGGCCGACCUGCCCUUGGUCACAACCCCCAGCCGAUCUA